Molecule: ribosomal RNA, 235 nt
Filed under: uncultured bacterium
Lineage: Bacteria
Description: partial 16S ribosomal RNA
Rfam family: Bacterial small subunit ribosomal RNA
Source: RNAcentral
UGGCGGACGGGUGAGUAAUGCCUGGGAAACUGCCCGAUGGAGGGGGAUAACUACUGGAAACGGUAGCUAAUACCGCAUAACGUCGCAAGACCAAAGAGGGGGACCUUCGGGCCUCUUGCCAUCGGAUGUGCCCAGAUGGGAUUAGCUAGUAGGUGGGGUAACGGCUCACCUAGGCGACGAUCCCUAGCUGGUCUGAGAGGAUGACCAGCCACACUGGAACUGAGACACGGUCCAG